This 253-nucleotide ribosomal RNA is filed under the name uncultured bacterium. Its description in RNAcentral is "partial 16S ribosomal RNA". It matches the Rfam family "Bacterial small subunit ribosomal RNA", at positions 524 to 776 of the family's 1533-position model. The record is from RNAcentral.
UACGUAGGGGGCAAGCGUUAUCCGGAUUUACUGGGUGUAAAGGGAGCGUAGACGGUUAUGCAAGUCAGAAGUGCAAGCCCAAAGCUCAACUUCGGGACUGCUUUUGAAACUGUGUAACUAGAGUGCAGGAGGGGUAAGCGGAAUUCCUAGUGUAGCGGUGAAAUGCGUAGAUAUUAGGAGGAACACCGGCGGCGAAGGCGGCUUACUGGACUGUAACUGACGUUGAGGCUCGAAAGCGUGGGGAGCAAACAGG